Anoplophora glabripennis (Asian longhorned beetle) is the source of this 552-nucleotide long non-coding RNA. RefSeq lists it as uncharacterized. The record is from RefSeq and is a predicted model, not a curated record. Lineage: Eukaryota; Metazoa; Arthropoda; Insecta; Coleoptera; Cerambycidae. The transcript has 3 exons.
CGUUAUUUAAAUUUGGAUGGAUAUUACAUAGAGAUUAAUCCAGGCUCGUAUUUUAGUUCUAAUACGACAAUCGCUUUUACAAUGAAACAAACACUUGACUGCUAUAUACCCACAUGAUGUCCAAAGCACAACCUACAGUCAAAGAUAACACCUAAUCCUUAAUUUAUGAAACGCGAUCAAUCAUCUGAGUGUUAAUAUAAUAAUUAAUUAAAGACAUCAUCAGCGUAAAGAAGAAACUUUGAAAUUUUAAUAUAUCCACCUAUGUCGUUAAUGAAAACAAGGAAUAACAGGGGCCCAAUAUGGAAGCCCUGAGGAACACCAGAUGUAAUGUGAACCAAUUUAGAAAAAUGCCCAUUAAUUGCUACCAUUCAUUUGUGACCUAUGUAAAUGUAAGAAGUAAACCAACGUAGGAGUAUACCGAUCCCAGCUUAUGCUUAUACUUUGUUAAAAUAAAAUUCAAUAAAAUAAGAAACAUAAAAAUAAAAAAAUAAUAAUAAACAGCCAGUUAAAAGUAAAAGUGGUUUGUUGUUGUUCCAUAUUGUAUUUUUAAAU